This 253-nucleotide ribosomal RNA is filed under the name uncultured bacterium. RNAcentral's name for it is "partial 16S ribosomal RNA". It matches the Rfam family "Bacterial small subunit ribosomal RNA", at positions 524 to 776 of the family's 1533-position model. The record is from RNAcentral.
UACGAAGGGAGCUAGCGUUGUUCGGAAUUACUGGGCGUAAAGGGCGCGUAGGCGGGUUUCCAAGUCGGGGGUGAAAUUCCAGGGCUCAACCCUGGGACGGCCUUCGAUACUGGCAGCCUGGAGAUCGGGAGAGGUGAGUGGAAUUCCGAGUGUAGAGGUGAAAUUCGUAGAUAUUCGGAGGAACACCAGAAGCGAAGGCGGCUCACUGGCCCGAGACUGACGCUGAGGCGCGAAAGCUAGGGGAGCAAACAGG